This 2804-nucleotide ribosomal RNA is filed under the name Synura macracantha. Its description in RNAcentral is "bacterial LSU rRNA". It matches the Rfam family "Bacterial large subunit ribosomal RNA". Lineage: Eukaryota; Synurophyceae; Synurales; Mallomonadaceae. The record is from RNAcentral.
GAAGCGAUGAAGGACGUGGCUACCGGCGAAACGUUUCGGGGAGUUGGAAGUAGGCUUUGAUCCGAAAGUAUCCGAAUGAGGAAACUCUUAAACUUCUUACUGAAUCUAUAAGUAAAGAAAGAGCAAACCUAGGGAAUUGAAACAUCUUAGUACCUAGAGGAAAAGAAAGUAAAAACGAUUCCCUUAGUAGUGGCGAACGAAAAGGGAAGAGCCUAAACUUUUAGAAAUCUAUUUUUAAAAGGGUUGUGGGAUAGAAAAAUCUGCUUCAUUGAAAAAUGAAAAGGAAACCAAAAAACUUUGUUAAAAAGUUUUUCGAAAUUAGGUGAAAUAACUGGAAAGUUAUACCAAAGAAAGUGAUAGUCUUGUAACCAAAAAUUUCAACAAAUAAUUCUAAUCCCGAGUAGCAUGGGGCACGUGGAAUCCCGUGUGAAUCUGCGAGGACCACCUCGUAAGGCUAAAUAUUCCUGGAUGUCCGAUAGCGUAUAGUACCGCGAGGGAAAGGUGAAAAGAACCCCGGGAGGGGAGUGAAAUAGAACGUGAAAUUGCAAGCCCACAAACAGAAGGAGAACGACUUAGCGUUUAACUUCGUGCCUGUUGAAGAAUGUUCCGGCGACUUAUAGUUAGUGGCAGGUUAAAAUAGAGAUAUUGGAGCCAUAGUGAAAGCGAGCUUGAAUAGAGCGUCUCGUCACUAGUUAUAGACCCGAACCCGGUUGAUCUAACCAUGGCCAGGAUGAAACUUGGGUAACACUAAGUGGAGGUCCGAACCGACUGAUGUUGAAAAAUCAGCGGAUGAGUUGUGGUUAGGGGUGAAAUGCCAAUCGAAACCGGAGCUAGCUGGUUCUCCCCGAAAUGUAUUUAGGUGCAGCGGUUAAUAUUAUAGCGUAGGGGUAAAGCACUGUUUCGGUGCGGGCUGGUAAUUCGGUACCAAAUCGAGGCAAACUCUGAAUACUACGUGUACAGUUAACCAGUAAGACUAUGGGGGAUAAGCUUCAUAGUCAAGAGGGAAACAGCCCAGAUCACCAGCUAAGGCCCCUAAAUAAUUACUAAGUGAUAAAGGAAGUGGAAAGGCUUAGACAACCAGGAGGUUUGCUUAGAAGCAGCAAUCCUUUAAAAAGUGCGUAAUAGCUUACUGGUCUAGCAAUUCUGCGCCGAAAACUUAUGGGACUAAGUAAUUUGCCGAAGCUGUGAGAUAAUUUGUUUUUUUGUAGAAAAGAUAAAUUUUUUUAUCUUAAAGUUGAAAAAUACUUACAAAAAAUAUUAAAAAAUUAUCGGUAGGGGAGCGUUCUGUGGUAGGUUGAAGUGUUAGCGAAAGCGGGCAUGGACGAAACAGAAGUGAGAAUGUCGGAUUGAGUAACGAAAACAUUGGUGAGAAUCCAAUGCUCCGAAAACCUAAGGUUUCCUCCGCAAGGCUCGUCCACGGAGGGUGAGUCAGGUCCUAAGGUGAGGCUGAGAAGCGUAGUUGAUGGACAAUAGGUUAAUAUUCCUAUACUGAUUAUUACUGGUAUCGAGGGACGAAGAAGGCUAAACUAGCCAGAGAUUGGUUACUGGUUUAAGAGAUUAAGGUGUUGAUGAUUAGUGAAAAUAAUCUGAGCUGAAAUCCAAAUACAAGAUUUUUAAAAUCAAAGUAGUUGAUGUCAUACUUCCAAGAAAAGCUCGCUAUGCCUUAAGUAAUAAUCACCUGUACCUUAAACCGACACAGGUAGGUAGGUAGAGAAUACCAAGGAGCGCGGGAGAACCCUCCUUAAGGAACUCGGCAAAAUAGCUCUGUAACUUCGGAAGAAAGAGUGCCUUUUAGGCUGCAAUAUCAAGUUCCAAGCAACUGUUUAGCAAAAACACAGGUCUCCGCUAAGUUGUAAGACGACGUAUGGGGGCUGACGCCUGCCCAGUGCCGGAAGGUUAAAGAAGUCGGUUAGCGUAAGCAAAGCUGGUAACUGAAGCCCCGGUGAACGGCGGCCGUAACUAUAACGGUCCUAAGGUAGCGAAAUUCCUUGUCGGGUAAGUUCCGACCCGCACGAAUGGCGUAAUGAUUUGGAAGCUGUCUCGAGGAGGGACUCGGUGAAAUAGAACUGUCUGUGAAGAUGCGGACUACCUGCGCCUGGACAGUAAGACCCUAUGAAGCUUUACUGUAUCCUGAAAUUGGAUUUCGAUUUUAUUUGCGCAGAAUAGGUGGGAGACUGUGAAAAUAUUCUUUCGGGAAUAGAUGAGUCAUUAGUGAGAUACCACUCUUAUAAAAUUAAAAUUCUAACUUCAUACCGUUAGCCGGUUGAAAGACAGUUUCAGGUGGGCAGUUUGACUGGGGCGGUCGCCUCCCAAAAGGUAACGGAGGCGUACAAAGGUUCCCUCAGAUCGGUCAGAAAUCGAUCUUAGAGUGCAAAGGCAAAAGGGAGCUUAACUGUGAGACAAACAAGUCGAGCAGAGACGAAAGUCGGUCUUAGUGAUCUGACGAUGCUGUGUGGAAAGGUCGUCACUCAACGGAUAAAAGUUACUCUAGGGAUAACAGGCUGAUCUCCCCCAAGAGUUCUUAUCGACGGGGAGGUUUGGCACCUCGAUGUCGGCUCAUCGCAUCCUGGGGCGGAAGUACGUCCCAAGGGUUGGGCUGUUCGCCCAUUAAAGCGGUACGUGAGCUGGGUUCAGAACGUCGUGAGACAGUUCGGUCCAUAUCCGGCGUAGGCGUUAGAGUAUUGAGAGUGACCUUUCUCUAGUACGAGAGGACCGAGAAAGACAUACCUCUAGUGUACCAGUUAUCGUGCCAACGGUACACGCUGGGUAGCUAUGUAUGGUUAAGAUAACCGCUGAAAGCAUCU